GACGAACGCUGGCGGCGUGCUUAACACAUGCAAGUCGAACGAUGAACCCCGAAAUGAUUUCUUCGGAAAGAUGUUUGAGAGGUUUAGUGGCCAACGGGAGAGUAACGCGUGAGCAACCUUCCUUAGACAAGGGGAUAGCUACUGGCAACCGUGAUUACUACCCUCUUAGACUCCACUUACGAGUGUCAGAGAAGUUAAAGCUAUUGCGGUCUAAGAUGGGCUCGCGUCUGAUUAGCUCGUGGGUGAGAUAUAAGCCCGGCAAGGCGACGAUCAGUAACCGGGAGGAGAGAGUGAACGGUCACAUUGGAACUGAGACACGGUCCAAACUCCGACGGGAGGCAGCAGUAGGGAAUAUUGCACGAGGGAGGCAACCGUGAUGCAGCGACGCCGCGGGAGCGAUGAAGGAAGUCGUAUCGUAAAGCUCUGUGCUAGGAGAAGAUAAUGACGGUAACCGAUGAGGAAGCACCGGCUAAAUACGUG
Molecule: ribosomal RNA, 480 nt
Filed under: uncultured bacterium
Lineage: Bacteria
Description: partial 16S ribosomal RNA
Rfam family: Bacterial small subunit ribosomal RNA
Source: RNAcentral